UACGUAGGUGGCGAGCGUUGUCCGGAUUUACUGGGCGUAAAGAGCGCGCAGGCGGUCGUUCAAGUCGCGUGUGAAAGCCCCCGGCUCAACUGGGGAGGGUCACUCGAUACUGAUCGACUUGAAGGCAGGAGAGGCAAGCGGAAUUCCGGGUGUAGCGGUGGAAUGCGUAGAGAUCCGGAAGAACACCGGAGGCGAAGGCGGCUUGCUGGGCGUGAUCUGACGCUGAGGCGCGAAAGCGUGGGGAGCGAACAGG
RNAcentral lists this ribosomal RNA (253 nucleotides) under uncultured bacterium. Its description in RNAcentral is "partial 16S ribosomal RNA". It matches the Rfam family "Bacterial small subunit ribosomal RNA", at positions 524 to 776 of the family's 1533-position model. The record is from RNAcentral.